CGCCCUGAGCGGACCGUGGGCUGCGCCGACGCCACCUCCGAUCCUGUACGGUUGUGGGCGCCUCGGCGCGCCCCGUGCUCCGCAAUCCUGCGGCGAGCGGCAUGGGAUAAUGCGGCCAUGGUGCGCCGAGACCGCUUGCGCAGGAUGAGGGAGUGGUGGGUCCAAGUGGGGCUCCUGGCUGUGCCCCUGCUGGCUGCGUACCUGCACAUCCCGCCCCCUCAGCUCUCCCCCGCUCUGCACUCAUGGAAGACUUCCGGCAAGUUUUUCACCUACAAGGGACUUCGCAUCUUCUACCAAGACUCCGUUGGUGUGGUUGGAAGCCCUGAGAUAGUUGUGCUUUUACAUGGCUUUCCAACAUCCAGCUAUGAUUGGUACAAGAUCUGGGAAGGUCUGACCCUGAGGUUUCAUCGAGUGAUUGCCCUGGAUUUCUUAGGCUUUGGCUUCAGUGACAAACCGCGACCACAUCAAUAUUCCAUAUUUGAGCAAGCCAGCAUUGUGGAAUCCCUCCUUCGGCACCUGGGACUCCAAAACCGCAGAAUCAACCUGUUGUCUCAUGACUAUGGAGAUAUUGUUGCUCAGGAGCUGUUGUACAGGUACAAGCAGAAUCGAUCUGGCCGGCUUACCAUAAAGAGUCUCUGUCUGUCAAAUGGAGGUAUCUUUCCUGAGACCCACCGUCCUCUCCUUCUUCAAAAGCUCCUCAAAGAUGGAGGCGUGCUUUCACCUAUCCUCACAAGGCUCAUGAACUUCUUCGUGUUCUCUCGAGGUCUGACUCCAGUCUUCGGACCGUACACUCGACCCUCUGAGAGUGAGCUAUGGGACAUGUGGGCUGGAAUCCGCAACAAUGAUGGGAACUUGGUCAUCGACAGUCUUUUACAGUAUAUCAAUCAAAGAAAGAAAUUCAGAAGACGCUGGGUGGGAGCACUUGCUUCUGUGACCAUCCCUAUUCAUUUUAUCUAUGGGCCAUUGGAUCCUAUAAAUCCCUAUCCAGAGUUUCUGGAGCUGUACAGUGAGCUGCAGAGUGAGCCACCUGUUGAUGCUUCUCUAAGGAGCUGAAAGUCAUGUUUUGAGGACUGUUACAGAAGUGUUGUAUUUGCAAGAUGUUGUCUGUUGUGUUCUGAACAAUUGAAACCAGUCUAAGUGGAACUGGCAAGUUUAUCUGGCUAAGGAAAACGCUGCCGCGGUCCACAGUGUCGAUUCUGGAUGACCACAUUAGCCACUACCCACAGCUAGAGGAUCCCAUGGGCUUCUUGAAUGCAUAUAUGGGCUUCAUCAACUCCUUCUGAGCUGUAAAGAGUAGCUUCCCUGUAUUAAUUACCUCCCCCAUUCUCGUAUUUGUGUGUAUUCCACUUAGAAAUGCCCCAAAGAGGUCCUGGCAAUCAAAUACUAUUCUUUCAUAAAAGUCCAUUUGAUUCACAUUGGUCAGCAAACUAUAGAAAACAGGCAGCAGAAACUCUAAGGAUGGCAUGCUAAUCCAUCUCUCAUUCUCUUAUGGGUGACAAGAUACUCCUCCCCUCAUUUCUGUGACAUCUGACCAAGUGUAUGGAUCUUCUUUUUAUUGUUAUUAUAAAAUUCUGAUGAAUAACACUUCUCAAUUAUGUAGAAAGACAGCAUUGGACAUUGUUUUUCGUAAAAUACUUAAAAAAAAAAAAACCCUAACUUGUGUGGACUUUGCUGAAAUCCUCAGAAAUGCUAACUUGUGGCCCAACCAUAAUUGGAGUCCUGUAGUAAAGAGGGAGGGAGGAGCUUGCUUAUCUCCCGUUCAAGCUCUCUAUACAGCACAGCUUAUGAGAAGGACUAUCUUGUCAUGCCUUACAUUUAGUUUCAUCAGCUGCUUCUAAUUAUAGACAUUUUGUUGAAAUACACAUUGGCUUAGGGGGCUGGAGAUGUAGCUCAGUGGUAGUGUGCCUGCUUAGCAAGCUAAAGCCCUUGGGUUCAAUCCCCAGAACUGCACCCCCCCCCCCAAAAAAAAACCCCUUACCAAACCAACAAUGUUCUGAAUAUGCUUUUGAGACUUAUUAGCAUACUCAUGUAUGUAUUUUCUAAGGGUAUUAAGAUGUUGGCCCUUACUUGCUAGAGUAGAGAACCUCAUCACACAUAUAAUUUGUGAAUAAAAAGAUUCAAAUUAUUUACAGAAUUUCCUAAAACCACGAGGUAUUAACCAGUUGUAUCUGUGCCAGAGCUUUAUUGUCACUGGCUAGAAAGUCCAUGCUGAACAGUAAAUAACAGCCUUCCUCCUCGCAACAGUACUUAGGUGCAUGUUCCUCCAGUUUGAAGUGGAGGCGAGGGGCCCAUGUAACAGCCAAAUGCCCACUGACUCCUCUUAGGAUGGCUGCUUAGCACCCACCCUACUAGCUGUUCAGCAAGGCUUUCUCACGUAACUCAGCAACUCCCGUACUGAGAUGUAAGAACAAAUGCUGAAAGAGCAAUGGUGCUGAAAACUUUUUUAAGCCACAGUUUUAACUUAGUUAAAGCAGCAUUAUUGAUUAUUUUAAAUUCAUUUUUUAAAUUAGAAAUUUCAAGUAUAGCAACUUUGAAACUGGAAUGAAUGAGUGUUUAUUUUCUAUUAAUAAAAACAAACUGUGACAAAAAUGGA
This is an RNA transcript of Alexandromys fortis (reed vole), 2593 nucleotides long. It is a transcript of the gene named mesoderm specific transcript, with no coding region annotated. The transcript is spliced from 13 exons. NCBI's taxonomy places the organism in Eukaryota, Metazoa, Chordata, Mammalia, Rodentia, Cricetidae. The record is from RefSeq and is a predicted model, not a curated record.